This 558-nucleotide ribosomal RNA is filed under the name uncultured bacterium. RNAcentral describes it as "bacterial SSU rRNA". It matches the Rfam family "Bacterial small subunit ribosomal RNA", at positions 271 to 826 of the family's 1533-position model. The record is from RNAcentral.
AGGCUACGAUCAGUAGGGGUUCUGAGAGGAAGGUCCCCCACAUUGGAACUGAGACACGGUCCAAACUCCUACGGGAGGCAGCAGUGAGGAAUAUUGGUCAAUGGACGAGAGUCUGAACCAGCCAAGUAGCGUGCAGGAUGACGGCCCUAUGGGUUGUAAACUGCUUUUAUAAGGGAAUAAAGUGAGUCUCGUGAGACUUUUUGCAUGUACCUUAUGAAUAAGGACCGGCUAAUUCCGUGCCAGCAGCCGCGGUAAUACGGAAGGUCCGGGCGUUAUCCGGAUUUAUUGGGUUUAAAGGGAGCGUAGGCCGGAGAUUAAGCGUGUUGUGAAAUGUAGAUGCUCAACAUCUGCACUGCAGCGCGAACUGGUUUCCUUGAGUACGCACAAAGUGGGCGGAAUUCGUGGUGUAGCGGUGAAAUGCUUAGAUAUCACGAAGAACUCCGAUUGCGAAGGCAGCUCACUGGAGCGCAACUGACGCUGAAGCUCGAAAGUGCGGGUAUCGAACAGGAUUAGAUACCCCGGUAGUCCGCACGGUAAACGAUGGAUGCCCGCUGUUGG